Long non-coding RNA from Papaver somniferum (opium poppy), 1241 nucleotides. RefSeq lists it as uncharacterized. Lineage: Eukaryota; Viridiplantae; Streptophyta; Magnoliopsida; Ranunculales; Papaveraceae. The transcript has 3 exons. The record is from RefSeq and is a predicted model, not a curated record.
CUUAUUUUGCCUCCUGAAACUACUUCGAGCAGCUUUUCGUCUGUUUGAUCCGUAGGCGUUAACAUUGUUAAGGGUAAGGUGAUGUAGUGCUUCAAAGAGGUUUGAAACUCGAAAUAGUGGCAGCAACAAAUCCUUCUCAAAGAUAAUUUAGUGAAAGCAUCAAUACCUAAUCUUUCGAUUGAUUAGGGUUGACAUAUUGCAAAAACUGAAGAUCUUACGAUAUUUAGGGUUUUUGAUUCGUUGUUAUUUUGAAUUAUUGGAGUUCCUCCUGUUUAUUGGUCCUGAUAAGAUUCGUCCUAUUCUAGGUUAGUGUUUUUUAGUCGGUUAGCUUCCGUGAUUUCAGGUGAUAAAUUCUGUUGUGUUAAGCGGGAUAGCCGAAAAAGGUGAUAAAUUCUGUUGUGAAUUGUGAGUUGGAAUCCAAUGGGAGUCGAACUAGGGCGUGUGAUUCAGCAUAAAGCAAAGUCAUUUAUUUGUCUAGACUUGGAACUGAGUACUGAUGUCAGUUGGAAGAAUGCCUCCAACCAAUGAUACGCAACCAAAAAACUAAUAAGUACAGUCAACAAAUUCUAGCUUGAUUUUCGUGCUCCGUAAGAUGAAUCUCUUAGGCAUGUAUAAAUGCAAAUGAUGCAGUUACCUUACGCCAAAAACUGGGUGAGAAAUUGAGAGAGAUAUCAGAACGAGUUGGAGGAAUGCAUCCGCCACCCCACCCCCCUGACUACCACAUUUGCUCUACGGAGAAUGGAAAGGUCUUAUGAGUAGCUGUGUUAUUUGUUAUCGUAUCAUGUGGUAAUCCAGAAUUUCAAUUUUUUCCUAUUUUGUGCCCUUUCAAUUUGCUACGCGGUUAGGCAAAUUUCUGAAACAAUUGAGGCAGGCCUAUAGUGGUGAAGGCAUAUGGUAGCAGUCUAACAAGAGCAGGAAAACAGUAGUAUUCCCAUCAUAAGAAAUGGCAGCACAACUGGAUGUUAUAGAUGUACGCAACUGUGUAUAUAUCUUAAUUCUGAUGAAGUUAAUUUCCCUUCCAUUAGUUAUGGAUUUCAGGAAAACGGAGGAAGAUUCAAAUUUAGAGCCUUAUGCAUUUGUGCAAAUGCCCAACUGAAAUUAAUGUUUAAUGUUCCAUCAUUUUCAACAUCAACCGAGUUCGGUCCAUCUUUUUAAGGUUAAGAAUUUAUUUAUGUAUUUAUUAUGAUAUAAAGAGUUACCAAACUAACCAAUAUGAAAUCUCGGGGUAUGAGAUUUUUCUG